UAAAAAAAUGUUUGUCUGGAUUAAUAAAAUUUAUUUAAGUAUUUGUACCAAUUUAAUUAUAUACGUAAUAGUUACUAAUUUUUUAAUUAUUCAAUAUAUAUUUAUUAUUUCAUAAUAUGUAAAAAAUAUAUAAUACUUAAAAAUAAUUUAUAUAUAAUAUUCAUUCCGCGUAAGGCACAUGUCUUAACCUAGUAUGAGUGUUUUAAAACAUAAGAAUUUAAGCUUUGAUAUAAGAAGAUAUGAAAUUGGUGCUGCCUAGUCUUAUGGCAGCAACAAACGAAAAUUUGUAAACCAAGUUACAUUUUUUUGUUGCUUUUGUUGUCAGUGAUGAGUAGAGUAGGUCGAAUUAAUGAUCUACAAACAUUUAGUACGAAACAAACAUGGCUACGAGUUUUAGUCUAAAUUUCAUGGUUAUACAAGCAAAUUUUAAUAUAUUGAUCUAGUGUUUCCGGCGUUGCGCUUUUCUCGAGGUGGACGUUCGGUUCUUGUAACCGCCGUGGCUCCUUUCUCAGGUGAACGGUCGGCUUUUGUUACCGCCGUGGCUCCUUACUCAGGUGAACGGGCGGCUUUAGUUAUCUUGGAAGGCGGAGGCUCGUUUUGCUCCGGUUGUUUGUGGGUGGUGUCUCGGUGUCGGUUUGAGGCGUCGAUGGGGAGUUAUCCCUUUGAAUGAAGCGUCGGUGGAGUUAGGGUUUGGGGUCUUUAUGCUCCGGUUCGCGAUUCACUUGUCUAGGAUUUGAAGUGGUUCAAAGGCCGAGGAGAUCUUGAUAGAUCGAUGGAAUCUCCCGGCGUGAAGACAGGGGGGUGUCGAAUGGGUUGGUUUCGUCAGAGGCUCGUCUGUUUCCGAGAUCUGAUGAAACGCGUUUUCAGUUUGAUGAUUGUUCCGGCGGUGCUGUGGCGGAGAUGACAAGUUGAGGCGGUUGUGUUGUGUGUCGCACUCACUGAGCAGUCUUCUCCUCGAUUGGAGCCUCCUUGGUUCGUGCUCCGAUCAGAUCGUACAGAGAUGGAGCGCGGAGGCGGCAGAGCGUUUUAGGCGCUAGGAUUUCCUGGUUUGUGGGCCUUUGGACCGGUUUGAUUUGUUGGGUGUCCAAUGUGUAUGGGCUUUGUAAGACUUUUGGGCUUUAGCCCUGUUUAAUAUAAAUUUCUAUAUGGAAAAAAAAAUGAUUCAUGUGUU
Brassica rapa (field mustard) is the source of this 1171-nucleotide long non-coding RNA. RefSeq lists it as uncharacterized. The record is from RefSeq and is a predicted model, not a curated record. Lineage: Eukaryota; Viridiplantae; Streptophyta; Magnoliopsida; Brassicales; Brassicaceae.